GGAUGUGAGGGCGAUCUGCCUGUGACAUGAACAAAAUAAGAAUAAAUUGAUUGCCAGGGUUGAUUCCACUCAUCUGGCUGGCUAGGCAGGUGUCCCCUUCCUCCCUCACUGCUCCAUGUGCUUUCCUCCCUAAGCUGUGUGUUUAGUUGAAGAGGACGACCUUCCCCAAUAGAGGAGGACCAUUCUUCUGUCAAGGGUAUACGAGUAGCUAUGCUGCACUGCUAGAUUUGCCUAUUAUGAACAUUUCAUAUAAACAGAAUCAUACAAUGCAUGACUUUUUACUU
RNAcentral lists this small nuclear RNA (284 nucleotides) under Marmota marmota marmota (Alpine marmot). Its description in RNAcentral is "7SK RNA (ENSMMMG00000023980.1)". It matches the Rfam family "7SK RNA". From Rfam's summary of the family: 7SK was discovered as an abundant small nuclear RNA in the mid-70s but a possible function has only recently been suggested. Two independent studies have found that 7SK RNA binds the CDK9/cyclin T complex (known as elongation factor P-TEFb). Lineage: Eukaryota; Metazoa; Chordata; Mammalia; Rodentia; Sciuridae. The record is from RNAcentral.